CAAUGCUUUUGUUGGAAACAACAAUCAGUAUCAAACUGGCUGUCCUUGAAGGAUUCAUAGACAAAGCUAUAAUCUGUCAAUGCGGGGCGAGGAAAUUGAACUUCAACAAUACGAGCUUUAACAGGUUUAAGUACACAAUCCAUGGCUGUCUUUGAAGGAUUCAUAGACAAAGGCCAACAAACUGGCUGCAUGUGGCAUUACAUAGAAAGUAAAUUUCAACAACUUCAUCAUCAUCCGAUAAAGUUUUCUUGCAAGAAAACCAAACAAGGACGUGCCCCCCAGGGUUUAACAUCAGUUUAUCUUGUUUGAGAUGAAGAAUUCUUCAUCAACACAAAGAGAGCUUUUCCAUGU
This 351-nucleotide long non-coding RNA is filed under the name Prunus dulcis (almond). Its description in RNAcentral is "sRNA ncRNA". The record is from RNAcentral. Lineage: Eukaryota; Viridiplantae; Streptophyta; Magnoliopsida; Rosales; Rosaceae.